GGAGAAGUACCCAAGCAGGUCGAAGGGGACGGUUUGCUAAACCGUUAGUAGGGGAUAACUCUAGCGCGGGUUCGAAUCCCGCCUUCUCCGCCA
RNAcentral lists this transfer RNA (93 nucleotides) under Clostridiaceae bacterium. RNAcentral describes it as "tRNA-Ser". It matches the Rfam family "tRNA". Rfam says of the family: Transfer RNA (tRNA) molecules are approximately 80 nucleotides in length. Their secondary structure includes four short double-helical elements and three loops (D, anti-codon, and T loops). Lineage: Bacteria; Bacillati; Bacillota; Clostridia; Eubacteriales; Clostridiaceae. The record is from RNAcentral.